AUUGAACGCUGGCGGAAUGCUUUACACAUGCAAGUCGAACGGCAGCACGGGAGCUUGCUCCUGGUGGCGAGUGGCGAACGGGUGAGUAAUGCAUCGGAACGUGCCCUGAAGUGGGGGAUAACGUAGCGAAAGUUACGCUAAUACCGCAUAUUCUGUGAGCAGGAAAGCAGGGGAUCUUCGGACCUUGCGCUUUUGGAGCGGCCGAUGUCGGAUUAGCUAGUUGGUGGGGUAAAGGCCCACCAAGGCGACGAUCCGUAGCGGGUCUGAGAGGAUGAUCCGCCACACUGGAACUGAGACACGGUCCAGACUCCUACGGGAGGCAGCAGUGGGGAAUUUUGGACAAUGGGCGCAAGCCUGAUCCAGCCAUGCCGCGUGAGUGAAGAAGGCCUCGGUUGUAAG
Molecule: ribosomal RNA, 399 nt
Filed under: uncultured bacterium
Lineage: Bacteria
Description: bacterial SSU rRNA
Rfam family: Bacterial small subunit ribosomal RNA
Source: RNAcentral